Molecule: ribosomal RNA, 1343 nt
Filed under: uncultured bacterium
Lineage: Bacteria
Description: 16S ribosomal RNA
Rfam family: Bacterial small subunit ribosomal RNA
Source: RNAcentral
GACGAACGCUUGCGGCGUGCUUAACACAUGCAAGUCGAACGGAAAGGCCCUGCUUUUGUGGGGUGCUCGAGUGGCGAACGGGUGAGUAACACGUGAGUAACCUGCCCUUGACUUUGGGAUAACUUCAGGAAACUGGGGCUAAUACCGGAUAGGAGCUCCUGCUGCAUGGUGGGGGUUGGAAAGUUUCGGCGGUUGGGGAUGGACUCGCGGCUUAUCAGCUUGUUGGUGGGGUAGUGGCUUACCAAGGCUUUGACGGGUAGCCGGCCUGAGAGGGUGACCGGCCACAUUGGGACUGAGAUACGGCCCAGACUCCUACGGGAGGCAGCAGUGGGGAAUAUUGCACAAUGGGCGGAAGCCUGAUGCAGCAACGCCGCGUGCGGGAUGACGGCCUUCGGGUUGUAAACCGCUUUCGCCUGUGACGAAGCGUGAGUGACGGUAAUGGGUAAAGAAGCACCGGCUAACUACGUGCCAGCAGCCGCGGUGAUACGUAGGGCGCGAGCGUUGUCCGGAUUUAUUGGGCGUAAAGGGCUCGUAGGUGGUUGAUCGCGUCGGAAGUGUAAUCUUGGGGCUUAACCCUGAGCGUGCUUUCGAUACGGGUUGACUUGAGGAAGGUAGGGGAGAAUGGAAUUCCUGGUGGAGCGGUGGAAUGCGCAGAUAUCAGGAGGAACACCAGUGGCGAAGGCGGUUCUCUGGGCCUUUCCUGACGCUGAGGAGCGAAAGCGUGGGGAGCGAACAGGCUUAGAUACCCUGGUAGUCCACGCUGUAAACGGUGGGUACUAGGUGUGGGGUCCAUUCCACGGGUUCCGUGCCGUAGCUAACGCUUUAAGUACCCCGCCUGGGGAGUACGGCCGCAAGGCUAAAACUCAAAGGAAUUGACGGGGCCCCGCACAAGCGGCGGAGCAUGCGGAUUAAUUCGAUGCAACGCGUAGAACCUUACCUGGGUUUGACAUGGAUCGGGAGUACUCAGAGAUGGGUGUGCCUCUUUUGGGGUCGGUUCACAGGUGGUGCAUGGCUGUCGUCAGCUCGUGUCGUGAGGUGUUGGGUUAAGUCCCGCAACGAGCGCAACCCUUGUUCACUGUUGCCAGCACGUUAUGGUGGGGACUCAGUGGAGACCGCCGGGGUCAACUCGGAGGAAGGUGGGGAUGACGUCAAGUCAUCAUGCCCCUUAUGUCCAGGGCUUCACGCAUGCUACAAUGGCUGGUACAGAGAGUGGCGAGCCUGUGAGGGUGAGCGAAUCUCGGAAAGCCGGUCUCAGUUCGGAUUGGGGUCUGCAACUCGACCUCAUGAAGUCGGAGUCGCUAGUAAUCGCAGAUCAGCAACGCUGCGGUGAAUACGUUCCCGGG